GGAGGACUGUGGUUCAGUGGCCAAGUAUGUGUCUAGCAUGCAAACGGUGCCAGGUUCAAUCCCUGGUGUCUCCA
Phrynosoma platyrhinos (Desert horned lizard) is the source of this 74-nucleotide non-coding RNA. The record is from the annotation of a GenBank genome assembly. Lineage: Eukaryota; Metazoa; Chordata; Lepidosauria; Squamata; Phrynosomatidae.